This is an RNA transcript of Hippopotamus amphibius kiboko, 2349 nucleotides long. It is a transcript of the gene named mitochondrial fission regulator 2, with no coding region annotated. The transcript has 9 exons. The record is from RefSeq and is a predicted model, not a curated record. NCBI's taxonomy places the organism in Eukaryota, Metazoa, Chordata, Mammalia, Artiodactyla, Hippopotamidae.
CGUGGAGCCCAGCCGCAGGUUCGUUGGCUCCCCGGAGGAGGGCCGCGCCUCCAGCCGAGUUACCCCGGCUGAGCGAGGGGCUUCAGGGCUAAGCCCGGGGCCAGUGGAGGCGUCGUUACCGCGCGUGGCAGGCACGCCGAGACGCGCGGGCAGGCACGUGUGGACGUCUGAGCGCUGCUGGACCGGGACGAGUGCACGCCCGGCCUCAUUCUCUUCGGAUUCCGCGGCAGGGUUCCUUAGGGACUGCACUCGGAAGUUUCCGUGGUUGCGAGGAGGCUGUGCUUCGGGGGAAGGUAUUAAGAAAAAAUGUUUCCUUAAAUUUGCUUCUGUUUUUGCCUUAUCAAUGUCAUUCAUAUUGAGUAUCUUAAGAGAGAUGCUGGAAUAUUUUGGUGUUCCCGUAAACCAGAUUUUGCAGAUUUGGGAAAAUAAAGACUAUGGAUCAGCUCGGAGUAUUGUUCGUAUUAUUGGGAAAAUUCUUCCUUUAGAACCUUGUCCCAGGCCUAAUUUUGAGCUGAUCCCACUUUUCAACUCUGUGGACCCGGCUAACUGUGAAUCUGUAGUUCCAUCUUUUGCUGAUGUUUUGUAUGUGGCAAAUGAUGAAGAAGCUAGUUAUCUCAGAUUUCGAAAUAGUAUAUGGAAAAAUGAAGAAGAGGAGAAAAUUGCAUCUUUCCAUCCUUUGCAACUAGUUGAAGAUCCACUGACACCCGCUCUAAGGCAUAAUAAACCAAGAGGAAAUGAUUGGCCUGAAAGUGAAGCUGCAAUUAAAAAAAUAGCUGCCCUUGAAGAUGAGCUAGCUUUUCUUCGUUGUCAGAUUGCUGCGAUUGUGGGAAGGCAAGAACUGAGAAACAGUAUAGAUUCUGGUUCCUUGGAUUUGAACGACAGGCCAAGUGGUUUGAGACAAAUGCCGUCAUCAGAGGCUACACAACUCAGUGUGGAACCAGAUUCGUUUUCAAGUUCAGUGCUUCCCUCUCCUCCUCCACCACCACUGCCUCCUCCGGUUUCAUCUCUACAGCUUCCAUGUUCUCCUCUCAUGCAAACAACAUCUAAUAAUAUUUAUGCAUCAGAUAAUUCAGCCACUGAAGUGAAAAAACAGCCCCCAGAUACUAGGAAAACCAAUUAUAGUCAUUCAAAAAGCCAGAAAAAUAAGGAUGUUCCAAAUAUGUUGGAUGUUCUAAAGGAUAUGAAUAAGGUUAAGCUACGUGCUAUUGAAAGGUCCCCUGGAGGCAGACCCAUUCAUAAAAGGAAAAGACAAGACUCACCGUGGGAUCCAUUGUCUUUAAUAUCCCAUGCCCUUAAGCAGAAGUUUGCAUUCCAAGAAGAAGAUUCCUUUGAGAAAGAAAAUAAUUCUUGGGAGUCUUCUCCAUUUUCUAGUCCAGAAACUUCAAGGUAUGAACUGGGUGUCUGAAACUUUGAGAGGACCAGAGAAGAAUGAUGUGAUAGAUUCAACCUAACCAUAUGUAAAGUUUGGACACCACGUUUCACAGCCAGAAGGACACUGAACUAAGGGAAGAAGUGACAAACACAGCAGGUGUAGACCAAGACACGAGCAACAGGGGCUGUGUCUGCGCCUGGAAGACAGGACUGCAGAAGUAUGCCGGCAUGCCUCUCCCUACGUGUGAAAGGAUCUCAUCUCCUGUUAGUGAAGUUAAAUGUAGUCUGUACACUGGGGUAUACUAGUGUAAAGGUCUGAAGGAUCUUGGCUGCUAAGAAUACCUGUCUCUGGUUUUAGAAGAUCCAGCUGUUAACUGGCUACUGAUGGUAGUUAGGUAUAUGGAUCUUUUGUUUUUUUCCAUGUAUGUUAAUGUUAUUAAAAGCUGCAUCUAUACUUUGAAUGAUUCUCCUAAGAGCUAAAUGGUAAAUGAUUUAAUGUUUCUCCUUAGAGAACAGUAAGGUCUCAUUAUAAUGUAACAGAAGCCAUUUAAUGAAUUAAGAAAAUAAUGUAAACUAAGUCUGUAUUGUACUACUCAACAGAUGAUAGUACGUUUGGGCUUUUAAAAACAAUCUCUUAAAGCAAUUAUGACUUCCUAACUUAAGAGCCUUUGAAUUUUGAAAAACUUGGUAGUGAUCUGGUUUACUUGGCCUCCAGCAACGUGGAGGUUUUCAAAUAAUAUAAAAUUAUAUUUUUUUCAUUAAGAUAGCCAUACUUUGAAUCAUAUAUUGAAUCUCCUAAAAAAUCUUCCUGAGGUGAUAAAGACUUAUUCUUAGAAGCUGAUUUUGACUGUUAAAUUCUAGACUGUGGAAGUGUUUAAAGAAUCUUCUUGAUAAGUUUGCCUACACUUGCUAUAUAGCUGUGUACGCCCAUCAUUUUAUUUCCUUUGUUCCUUAUACACUCCGUUCCUUUGUAAAUAA